RNAcentral lists this ribosomal RNA (573 nucleotides) under Triticum aestivum (bread wheat). RNAcentral's name for it is "partial small subunit ribosomal RNA". The record is from RNAcentral. Lineage: Eukaryota; Viridiplantae; Streptophyta; Magnoliopsida; Poales; Poaceae.
AUGCGCGGGCACGCCUGGCACGCAGCCGAAGGCUCUGGCGACGAAGGCCAAGCAAGGGCAGACGAACUUCUUCACGAACCUAUGCAUGGCGCCGCCGCGGCGUGUCCCGAGCGGCCCCGGCGACCGCCGACGAUAGCGAUGAUGGGCGACGCGCGUGUACAUCCGCGACGCCGUCGUCACGGCCCCCGCCUCCGACGAGCGGACAUUGCCGUCCCGAAACGCCUCGAAGAGGACCAUGUCCUCGAAGCUCACGUAUCCCAGAUCACCGUCGCGGCGACGCCUGUCGAAGCAGACCUCGGCUUCGUCGCUGCCGGCGCACUGCACGCGGCCGACGCGCACGUCCUCGUGGGAGCGCGUCCGCAGCAGGCCAUUGUUGUUGUUGUUGUUGUUGUUGGGGAAGGAGCCGUCGCUGCUGCUGCCCUGCGCGCAGGAGAGGAGGUCGCCGGCGUUGUCGUUGUGGUGGUGGGCGAGGAGAGGCUGGGAGCGGGAGUGGGAGAUCGGCAUCGGAGGCGUGAGGCGGCGGCGGCACUAGGAGGCGGCGGCGGCGGCGAGAACGAGGACUGUGAACUGUGA